UCCUGGCUCAGAUUGAACGCUGGCGGAAUGCUUUACACAUGCAAGUCGAGCGGCAGCGCGGGGGCAACCCUGGCGGCGAGCGGCGAACGGGUGAGUAAUAUAUCGGAACGUACCCCGUCGUGGGGGAUAACACAGCGAAAGCUGUGCUAAUACCGCAUACGACCUGAGGGUGAAAGCGGGGGAUCGCAAGACCUCGCGCGAUGGGAGCGGCCGAUAUCGGAUUAGCUUGUUGGUGAGGUAAAGGCUCACCAAGGCGACGAUCCGUAGCUGGUCUGAGAGGACGACCAGCCACACUGGAACUGAGACACGGUCCAGACUCCUACGGGAGGCAGCAGUGGGGAAUUUUGGACAAUGGGGGCAACCCUGAUCCAGCCAUUCCGCGUGAGUGAAGAAGGCCUCGGUU
This 403-nucleotide ribosomal RNA is filed under the name uncultured bacterium. RNAcentral describes it as "bacterial SSU rRNA". It matches the Rfam family "Bacterial small subunit ribosomal RNA", at positions 17 to 424 of the family's 1533-position model. The record is from RNAcentral.